Molecule: ribosomal RNA, 253 nt
Filed under: uncultured bacterium
Lineage: Bacteria
Description: partial 16S ribosomal RNA
Rfam family: Bacterial small subunit ribosomal RNA
Source: RNAcentral
UACGGAGGGAGCUAGCGUUGUUCGGAAUUACUGGGCGUAAAGCGCACGUAGGCGGUUUUGUAAGUUAGAGGUGAAAGCCCGGGGCUCAACCCCGGAAUUGCCUUUAAGACUGCAUCGCUUGAAUCCGGGAGAGGUGAGUGGAAUUCCGAGUGUAGAGGUGAAAUUCGUAGAUAUUCGGAAGAACACCAGUGGCGAAGGCGGCUCACUGGACCGGUAUUGACGCUGAGGUGCGAAAGCGUGGGGAGCAAACAGG